GGCGGGGCAGAGGGGCGGAGCCGGGGCUUCCCCGGGCUGAGUUCGGGCUCAGGCCUUCGGGCAGGGCCGCAGCCGGCUCCGCGCCACCUGACCACAGCCCGGUGGCCCGCCAAGCAGAGCCGGCCGCACCGCGGUCGGCGAGGCCCAGCUCCGGCUGCCCGGGCGCGCGGGGCGACCUGUGGGGACUCGACAUGACGGGAGACCGAGGACCAGGGAGAGCGGAUGGAUGAAAUCACAAGUAGAUGGAGAGGCAGGCAGAGAGAGAGAGAGGGAAGCAGGCUCCCCGCUGAGCAGAGAGCCCGACGCGGGACUCGAUCCCAGGACCCGGAGAUCAUGACCUGAGCUGAAGGCAGCAGCUUAACCCACUGAGCCACCCAGGCGCCCCGGGAAAGAGAAAAUCUUAAGCAGACUCCACACUCCGCGGGGAAUGGGACAAGGGGCUCAAUCCCAGGACACUGAGAUCAUGACCUGAGGGGAAAGGAAGAGUCCCACACUUAACCUGCUUAACCAACUAAGCCACCUAAGCGCCCCUUAGCACUUGCAGUUUCAUUACUUCAUCUUCAUGGGGAACCAUCUCCUUGUAUCCCAGAACUCUGGCUUUUAUCUGUAGGGGUACUGAACACAUAGCUUCUAGUCAAUCCACUGCUGCUUUUUCUAGGUCACUUCUGGAUGUGGUGGUACUGCAUUUAUAGCAACACCUUCUGUUCCCUGUUGGGCUUGUAACCUAUGGUGCAUGCAAUAACUUUAUUAAAUUAGAAAAACAUUUUCCCUUUUUGAAAGCAAACCAUCACACAAACAGAACUACAGUGUGCAUGCGGAAUGAAUAUUUUAUUACUAGAUUAUAAAAAUAAAAUACAAAAUAAUUUUAAAACAGAACUUAAAACACUGUACAAAGCUUUAAUAUGAUACAAAUGGGAAAAUUAAAUAAAUAAUUACACUUUUAUGUACA
Molecule: long non-coding RNA, 949 nt
Organism: Mustela lutreola (European mink)
Lineage: Eukaryota; Metazoa; Chordata; Mammalia; Carnivora; Mustelidae
Exons: 2
Source: RefSeq, a predicted model, not a curated record